This 431-nucleotide ribosomal RNA is filed under the name uncultured bacterium. Its description in RNAcentral is "partial 16S ribosomal RNA". It matches the Rfam family "Bacterial small subunit ribosomal RNA", at positions 29 to 507 of the family's 1533-position model. The record is from RNAcentral.
AACGAACGCUGGCGGCAGGCUUAACACAUGCAAGUCGAGCGCCCCGCAAGGGGAGCGGCCGACGGGUGAGUACCGCGUGGGAACGUACCUUUUGGUUCGGAACAACUCCGGGAAACUGGAGCUAAUACCGGAUAAGCCCUAACGGGGAAAGAUUUAUCGCCGAAAGAUCGGCCCGCGUCUGAUUAGCUAGUUGGUGAGGUAACGGCUCACCAAGGCGACGAUCAGUAGCUGGUCUGAGAGGAUGAUCAGCCACACUGGGACUGAGACACGGCCCAGACUCCUACGGGAGGCAGCAGUGGGGAAUAUUGGACAAUGGGCGCAGGCCUGAUCCAGCCAUGCCGCGUGAGUGAUGAAGGCCUUAGGGUUGUAAAGCUCUUUUGUCCGGGAAGAUAAUGACUGUACCGGAAGAAUAAGCCCCGGCUAACUUCGUG